CAGAGCAUAGCUGAAGAAGGAAAGCAUCUCCCUUACACUGAGAAGAUAUCCGUGCGAACCGGAUUGCCCUGA
This 72-nucleotide transfer RNA is filed under the name Sirembo imberbis (golden cusk). Its description in RNAcentral is "tRNA-Val". It matches the Rfam family "tRNA". Rfam says of the family: Transfer RNA (tRNA) molecules are approximately 80 nucleotides in length. Their secondary structure includes four short double-helical elements and three loops (D, anti-codon, and T loops). Further hydrogen bonds mediate the characteristic L-shaped molecular structure. tRNAs have two regions of fundamental functional importance: the anti-codon, which is responsible for specific mRNA codon recognition, and the 3' end, to which the tRNAs corresponding amino acid is attached (by aminoacyl-tRNA synthetases). tRNAs cope with the degeneracy of the genetic code in two manners: having more than one tRNA (with a specific anti-codon) for a particular amino acid; and 'wobble' base-pairing, i.e. permitting non-standard base-pairing at the 3rd anti-codon position. Lineage: Eukaryota; Metazoa; Chordata; Actinopteri; Ophidiiformes; Ophidiidae. The record is from RNAcentral.